This 1183-nucleotide long non-coding RNA is filed under the name Malus domestica (apple). RNAcentral's name for it is "long non-coding RNA (MDOM_LNC018047)". Lineage: Eukaryota; Viridiplantae; Streptophyta; Magnoliopsida; Rosales; Rosaceae. The record is from RNAcentral.
GGGGGGGGAACAAAGAAAAGAAAUAAGCAGCACUUGCUGCUGGGCAGGAGAAAAAACCGAGAGGAGGCAUUAGCCUCGAGGACAGAGAGCAAAAAUCUGCCUCUUGGCAGCAAGGUCAGAGACCACGGGGCAGCAAGGUCAGAGACCACGGGGCAGCAACUCGGAGGAAUAAAACAGCACCGAGUGGAAGGGCUGUUGUCUUGGCGAUGCCGAGGUGACCAGAAACCAAGGCUGCCCUUGGCAGCGCAGAAAUAUAGGAGAAGGGAGCCUCGGUGCAGGUAGCUGGUGGGAGCAAAACAGAAGCUCUAAAGCAAGGAAAGGAAAACAGAAGCCACGGACAGAAGCAAAAAUUCCUUUAUCUCUCGGUUAAAUCUUUCCAAACUUAUAUUUUAUUUCUGUUUUAAUAAUGUGUAACUAAAUUUAUUUUGGCUAGAGGUUAAUUCAAAGCCAUGAAUAUAUUUGUAAUAUGAAUUGAUUACCUUCAAUUGUGAUUUCUGAGUUGUGAUUUAAUUUGCUUAACUGCUUGAUUGAUAACUUAUUUUUGUAUGUCGAUUAAGAAUGCAUACUUAAUUUACAUGCAUGAAUUUGAUGCUAGAAUAUAAGUAAAUUUCACCUAAUCGUUAUGAACUUAUAUUCACAAGUAGUGAAGGUUGCUAGUCACAAUCACGUUAAGUAAAUUCUUGGCAAGAGUAUCAUGCUUUUCAUAGUUACGAAUGCCUCGUCAAUGCUUAUAGUUUUCACAGAGUUUAAUGAUCUUUGAUUGUAUCUCUAUUGUGCUUUUCACGUAGAGGACUUUUGAAGAAUGUUUUGAAUUGUUGUAUGCGUUUUUCCGUCCAAUUCAAUAACUUAGGGAAAACUUGAAGAUUAAAAAAGUGCUGUUCACGGUUAAUCUGAAGUAUUGAGAUUCACAAUUUAUUGAAAGAACAACUGAAAAUCAAUUUAGGUUGCAUAUGUGUCAUGUGUGGAGAAAAACCCUCUAGCUAAUCCGUCACCUAUCCUUUCACCUUAAUUUCAUGCUUUUGUCAAUUCUGUAAUUUAUUUAAGUUUAAUUUACUUCUCGGCAAAACCAAAACCCCCCCCCCAUUAUUAAAUUAUAUUAUCUAGUUAGUUUUCAUUGUUGUUAGUCUUUUAAUUCAAUUUCCGUCCAUUGCAGUUCCUAGUGUCUAAUUUGAUUGUUUUCAUU